GUGCUUGCUUCAGCAGCACAUAUACUAAAAUUGGAAUGAUAGAGAAGAUUACCAUGGCCGCUGUGCAAGUAUGAGACACAAAUUCCUGAAGCAUUCCGUAUUUUU
Small nuclear RNA from Delphinapterus leucas (beluga whale), 105 nucleotides. The record is from Ensembl. Lineage: Eukaryota; Metazoa; Chordata; Mammalia; Artiodactyla; Monodontidae.